GGAUGGAUGGCCGAGUGGUUUAAGGCACUGGUCUUGAAAACCAGCGAACUGAAAGGUUCCGUGGGUUCGAAUCCCACUCCAUCCG
This 85-nucleotide transfer RNA is filed under the name Paracoccus sp. J56. It matches the Rfam family "tRNA". From Rfam's summary of the family: Transfer RNA (tRNA) molecules are approximately 80 nucleotides in length. Their secondary structure includes four short double-helical elements and three loops (D, anti-codon, and T loops). The record is from Rfam by way of RNAcentral. Lineage: Bacteria; Pseudomonadati; Pseudomonadota; Alphaproteobacteria; Rhodobacterales; Paracoccaceae.